Molecule: transfer RNA, 73 nt
Filed under: bacterium
Lineage: Bacteria
Description: tRNA-Ile
Rfam family: tRNA
About the family: Transfer RNA (tRNA) molecules are approximately 80 nucleotides in length. Their secondary structure includes four short double-helical elements and three loops (D, anti-codon, and T loops).
Source: RNAcentral
GCGCUCGUAGCUCAACGGUUAGAGCAGGGGACUCAUAAUCCCUUGGUUGCAGGUUCGAAUCCUGCCGGGCGCA